CGACCUACUAAAUAGUUUAGCGAAUCCUUCGGGAUUCGUAUAGACUUCUUAGAGGGACUUUGGAUGAGUAGUCCAAGGAAGUUCGAGGCAAUAACAGGUCUGUGAUGCCCUUAGAUGUUCUGGGCCGCACGCGCGCUACACUGACUGGUUCAUCGAGUUUACAACCUUGACCGAUAGGUCUGGGUAAUCUUUUGAAAGCCAGUCGUGCUGGGGAUAGAUCAUUGCAAUCUUUGAUCUUCAACGAGGAAUUCCUAGUAAACGCGAGUCAUCAACUCGCAUUGAUUACGUCCCUGCCCUUUGUACACACCGCCCGUCGCU
This 318-nucleotide ribosomal RNA is filed under the name uncultured eukaryote. RNAcentral's name for it is "SSU rRNA". It matches the Rfam family "Eukaryotic small subunit ribosomal RNA", at positions 1344 to 1680 of the family's 1831-position model. The record is from RNAcentral.